RNAcentral lists this ribosomal RNA (482 nucleotides) under uncultured bacterium. RNAcentral's name for it is "partial 16S ribosomal RNA". It matches the Rfam family "Bacterial small subunit ribosomal RNA", at positions 30 to 507 of the family's 1533-position model. The record is from RNAcentral.
AUUGAACGCUGGCGGCAUGCCUUACACAUGCAAGUCGAACGGUAACGGGCCUUCGGGUGCCGACGAGUGGCGCACGGGUGAGUAAUACAUCGGAACGUGCCCGAUCGUGGGGGAUAACGAGGCGAAAGCUUUGCUAAUACCGCAUACGAUCUACGGAUGAAAGCAGGGGACCGCAAGGCCUUGCGCGGAUGGAGCGGCCGAUGGCAGAUUAGGUAGUUGGGGGGAUAAAAGCUUACCAAGCCGACGAUCUGUAGCUGGUCUGAGAGGAUGAUCAGCCACACUGGGACUGAGACACGGCCCAGACUCCUACGGGAGGCAGCAGUGGGGAAUUUUGGACAAUGGGCGCAAGCCUGAUCCAGCCAUGCCGCGUGCAGGAUGAAGGCCUUCGGGUUGUAAACUGCUUUUGUACGGAACGAAAAGCCUUCUUUUAAUACAGGAGGGUCAUGACGGUACCGUAAGAAUAAGCACCGGCUAACUACGUG